Molecule: ribosomal RNA, 460 nt
Filed under: uncultured bacterium
Lineage: Bacteria
Description: partial 16S ribosomal RNA
Rfam family: Bacterial small subunit ribosomal RNA
Source: RNAcentral
GCUACGGGUGGCAGCAGUGAGGAAUAUUGGUCAAUGGACGAGAGUCUGAACCAGCCAAGUAGCGUGAAGGAUGACUGCCCUAUGGGUUGUAAACUUCUUUUAUAUGGGAAUAAAACGUUCCACGUGUGGCAUUUUGUAUGUACCAUAUGAAUAAGGAUCGGCUAACUCCGUGCCAGCAGCCGCGGUAAUACGGAGGAGUCGAGCUUUAUCCGGAUUUAUUGGGUUUAAAGGGAGCGUAGGUGGUUUGUUAAGUUAGUUGUGAAAGUUUGCGGCUCAACCGUAAAAUUGCCGUUGAAACUGUGAGUCUUGAGUACAGUAGAGGUGGGCGGAAUGCAUGGUGUAGCGGUGAAAUGCUUAGAGAUCACGAAGAACACCGAUUGCGAAGGCAGUUCACUGGACUGCAACUGACACUGAGGCUCGAAAGUGUGGGUAUCAAACAGGAUUAGAUACCCCUGUAGUC